RNAcentral lists this unclassified non-coding RNA (558 nucleotides) under Zea mays. Its description in RNAcentral is "misc RNA Zm00001eb178430". Lineage: Eukaryota; Viridiplantae; Streptophyta; Magnoliopsida; Poales; Poaceae. The record is from RNAcentral.
CUGUUCUUAUCCCUGCGCGCCGACCGUUUCUUCCGUGUGCCAUGGAGUUUCUUCUCCCUGGCUAGCACUCUCUCUUCCUUGAUUCCUUCUCCCUGGCCGAGCGCGCCUGGAUCUUCUCCCUCCCAGGCGUUCGGCAGCUCGGCCGCUCGUUCCUCUCUGCUGCUCGCCGAUUCCCUCUUCCCCCAGCUCCGCUCGUCCAUGGCGCCCCUCCCUCUGUUCGCUCGCGUGCAGCCGCGCCCCUCCGCUCGCCCAGUCUCCGCGUGGCAGCUUUCCUCUGCCGGUGCCCAGCCCUGUGGCCCCUCCUCUCUCUCCCUCAAGCUCUCUGCGCGCCGAGCUCCCUCUCCGACGGUCGUCCUCGCCUCAAGCUCCCUCGGCGCUCUCCCUGCUCGCCUGCGCACCUUUCCCCGGCGGGAGCUCGCGCUCUACGGAGCCCGGUCCUUCCCUGCCGCGCGCCGAGCCCUUUGCCGUGCCGAGCUCCUAACCAUGGCGCUACUGCUCCCAGCCGAGAGCUCGCCGAGCUCUGUCCUCUUCCAUGGCGCCCAACCCACUGCGCCGUGA